RNAcentral lists this long non-coding RNA (1864 nucleotides) under Homo sapiens (human). RNAcentral's name for it is "HSALNT0346408". The record is from RNAcentral. Lineage: Eukaryota; Metazoa; Chordata; Mammalia; Primates; Hominidae.
UCCCGGACAUGGAUGAAUCUCUUACAGAAGCUUGGACCCAAUUUCAGCCUCAAUGAAAGAGGAAGGAAAAGUGAACUGAUAAUGAAGCUAAGACAAUAAAGCCAAGAAGUACCUCCAGGACCAUCCCAGCCCCUUGUUUUACAGCCCACACAAUGGAGACCAAUGCCAGAGGCCAAGCAAUUCCAGUUUUCUUAUGUAAUCAUGAUUGUACACAGAGGACGAGACUUAGCUGAACCAAGAGAGUUUAUGCUAAACACCCUCGCUAACCAUUGAGAGAAAUCAUUCCUUGGGAAAAGAGUGGUAAGAAUCAAUUGUCUUAUAAUAAAUAGAAUAAUAAAGACAGAAAAACAUCAGACACACGUACAUUAAUGGUAAGCUCAAACACACAGAAUUUUCUUAUCAUUUUUGUGAUUGGCAAACUGCAUUCAAGACUUUGAAAAGUCCAAAUUUCAUGAUAUUUGAAAGUGAGUUUGAGGCUUUCUGCAUUUAGAAAUUCCUGUUUGACUUUGAGUCCUUGGUCUGAGAAAAGGCGUUUUUGACAACAGGAUAAUGUUCAGGUGCCUCGCAGCCUUGGGAACUUGAAAUGUAGAAUUUAUUUCUGGAUUUGGGCAAAUCUCCCUUAGUGUCUCCAGUUCUCCAUUUGAAAAUUACAAUAAUCAAACGUGGCAAAAAUACUACUGAGAAAUUAAUACAAAUUGCUAGUGAACUGACACUUUUCUCACCAUCUGGCUGCGGUUUCAGAUGGUUUCUGAUUCAAUGGGGGAAAACUUUCUGUUCUCAAGUUACACAAAAAGUGAAAAGAUUCCCAAACCCAGGAAAUUGGCAGGUGCAAAUGACCAAUCCCCAAAGCCUUUCAGUACUUUAUUCCCCUUUCUUUUUCUCUUUUUGUUCUUUCUCUGCAUCUCUGUCUCUAUCUUUCACUUUUUCCUUUUAUUUGUCCUUUAUCCUUAUCAAAAAUUCCUCUAUUUUCAGUUGAUAAUAGUCACAUAAAACACAUAGAGUUUUGAUACAUUGGUGUUUAAUUGUGAUAUAUAAACAUGCUAAAUCUACCUACAUACACAGAUUUAUUAAAAUAUAUAGGCCUACAGGGCAUAUUGGACAAAAUUAAAUAUCUACAUGCAGAUAUAGAAAUUAUUGGUAAAUAUGAUAGAAAAAUGUUGAUAUAGUAAAUUUCUGUGCCAAAUAUUUGAACAAUUCUCUGAGUAAUGCUCAGUGCAUUCAAUAAUGUUUUUCCUGCUUUUGUAUUUUCUUACCAAGCUCAUAGUGAUUCAGAAGGAGAAACGCAGCAAAUGACAAAAACAUAAACAUUAUGAAAAUCAUAGAUAUGAUUUCUUCAGCAAAAAAAACCCCACAUCUCACAGAAUUACUCAUUUGGGCCACAUUUUAAAGGUUAUCCUAAAUGUAUCUUGUGCAUUACAUAUUGUAAUUCUAACAUUAUCAACACCAUAGUUUUGCCUCCUCUGCUUAAAUAAUUCUGCAACUGUAGUUUUAAUUUACUGUGACUUGUGCUUACCUGAGGAAGGGAUGCCAAGGACGAUGAGAACCAGCAUAAAAUCUGGGAGCAUCGUGAUGUCAGUUUCAGAAAGACAGUUUCUUCCUUUUUAACAACAGAGCAUUUCCACUGGAAAAGGGGGUUUUGAAAAGAAAAUACAGGGGUUCAAAAUCCGAAGUGGAACCCAAGAGGACAGCAACACCUGGAGUGGAAUAAAACAAUCUCAACCCCUCUCGCCGAGUGUGCCGCUUCUCAAAGUGCACUUCAUUGAUUUGCAGUCAGCUGUCAGAUCGUUUGAUCAGAUUUCAUCUAGUUCAGUGCUGUGCACACCCAGAGGGCCCUUGAUAAAUGCAUGAUACAUCAAAUGAAUGG